ACCAGACUCCUACGGGAGGCAGCAGUGCGGAAUAUUGGUCCAUGGCCGCAGGGCUGCACCAGCCACGUCGCUUGAGGGAUGCCGGUCCUAUGGAUUGUCCACCUCUUUUGUCCUGGAGCAAAGGGCGCCACGUGUUUCUUUUUGCGAGUCCCUUCCGAAAAAGCCUCGUCUAACUCCUUUCCCGCAGCCGCUGUCCUCCGGAGGAUGCGCUCGUUAUCCGGCUUUAUUGGGUUUAAAGGGUGCGCAGGCGGAAGGUCAAGUCAGAGUGAAAAUUUCGGGGAGCAACCCCGUCGUGCCGUUGAAACUGGCGUUCUUGAGUGAGCGAGAAGGAUGCGGAAUGCGUGGUGUAGCGGUGAAAUGCAUAGAGAUCACGCAGAACUCCGAUUGCGAAGGCAGCAGACCGGCGCUCAACUGACGCUCAUGCACGAAAGCGUGGGUAGCGAACAGGAUUAGGUACCCUUGUAA
This 465-nucleotide ribosomal RNA is filed under the name uncultured bacterium. RNAcentral's name for it is "bacterial SSU rRNA". It matches the Rfam family "Bacterial small subunit ribosomal RNA", at positions 330 to 793 of the family's 1533-position model. The record is from RNAcentral.